GCAUGUUCACAUGAUUAAAGGUAUUCCGGUAGACGAUGGGGAUGCGUUCCAUUAGAUAGUAGGCGGGGUAACGGCCCACCUAGUCUUCGAUGGAUAGGGGUUCUGAGAGGAAGGUCCCCCACAUUGGAACUGAGACACGGUCCAAACUCCUACGGGAGGCAGCAGUGAGGAAUAUUGGUCAAUGGGCGAGAGCCUGAACCAGCCAAGUAGCGUGAAGGAUGACUGCCCUAUGGGUUGUAAACUUCUUUUAUAAGGGAAUAAAGUCGGGUAUGCAUACCCGUUUGCAUGUACUUUAUGAAUAAGGAUCGGCUAACUCCGUGCCAGCAGCCGCGGUAAUACGGAGGAUCCGAGCGUUAUCCGGAUUUAUUGGGUUUAAAGGGAGCGUAGAUGGAUGUUUAAGUCAGUUGUGAAAGUUUGCGGCUCAACCGUAAAAUUGCAGUUGAUACUGGAUAUCUUGAGUGCAGUUGAGGCAGGCGGAAUUCGUGGUGUAGCGGUGAAAUGCUUAGAUAUCACGAAGAACUCCGAUUGCGAAGGCAGCCUGCUAAGCUGCAACUGACAUUGAGGCUCGAAAGUGUGGGUAUCAAACAGGAUUAGAUACCCUGGUAGUCCACACGGUAAACGAUGAAUACUCGCUGUUUGCGAUAUACAGCAAGCGGCC
This 658-nucleotide ribosomal RNA is filed under the name uncultured bacterium. RNAcentral describes it as "bacterial SSU rRNA". It matches the Rfam family "Bacterial small subunit ribosomal RNA", at positions 187 to 848 of the family's 1533-position model. The record is from RNAcentral.